CCCUUAGAUGUUCUGGGCCGCACGCGCGCUACACUGAUGCAUUCAACGAGUCUAAAACCUGCUCUGAUAGGGGUGGGUAAUCUUUUGAAUGUGCAUCGUGAUUGGGAUAGAUGAUUGCAAUUUUUCAUCUUCAACGAGGAAUGCCUAGUAAACGCAAGUCAUCAGCUUGCAUUGAUUACGUCCCUGCCCUUUGUACACAUCGCCCGUCGCUCCUACCGAUUGAAUGAUCCGAUGAAUAUCAUGGAUUGAGGAUGCAAGUAGGUUAGCCUAUCUUCAUCUUCGAGAAGUGAAGUAAAUCUUAUCAUUUAGAGGAAGGAGAAGUCGUAACA
This 329-nucleotide ribosomal RNA is filed under the name uncultured eukaryote. Its description in RNAcentral is "partial 18S ribosomal RNA". It matches the Rfam family "Eukaryotic small subunit ribosomal RNA", at positions 1470 to 1796 of the family's 1831-position model. The record is from RNAcentral.